RNAcentral lists this RNase P RNA (326 nucleotides) under Candidatus Portiera aleyrodidarum (primary endosymbiont of Bemisia tabaci). RNAcentral describes it as "RNaseP_bact_a". It matches the Rfam family "Bacterial RNase P class A". From Rfam's summary of the family: Ribonuclease P (RNase P) is a ubiquitous endoribonuclease, found in archaea, bacteria and eukarya as well as chloroplasts and mitochondria. Its best characterised activity is the generation of mature 5'-ends of tRNAs by cleaving the 5'-leader elements of precursor-tRNAs. Cellular RNase Ps are ribonucleoproteins. Lineage: Bacteria; Pseudomonadati; Pseudomonadota; Gammaproteobacteria; Johnevansiales (SeqCode); Johnevansiaceae (SeqCode). The record is from RNAcentral.
UGCAGUCACUUAUAAUAAAAUUUUUUAUAAGAGGAAAGUCCGGACUCUUUGAGCAAAGUGCCAGUUAAGUACUGGGCAAACAUUUUUGACGGAAAGUGCACAAGAAAAAAUACAAUCUUUUUAAUAGAUAAUGGUGAAAAGGUUUGGUAAAAGCAUACCACGUAUUUGGUAACAAAUUCGUUAUGUAAACCCCACUUUGAGUAAAACUAAAUAAGAAUUUAAAGCGCUCUAUAAAUUAUAAAUUACAAUUCUUGGUAGGUUGCAUAAAUAUAUAUAGCGAUGUAUAUGUUAGAUAAAUGACUGUAAUUUGUACAGAAUCCGGCUUA